CGGGGUGGAGUAAUGCUUGGGAAUCUAGCUUAUGGAGGGGGAUAACUACGGGAAACUGUAGCUAAUACCGCGUAAUAUCGAGAGAUUAAAGUGUGGGACCUUCGGGCCACAUGCCAUAGGAUGAGCCCAAGUGGGAUUAGGUAGUUGGUGAGGUAAAGGCUCACCAAGCCGACGAUCUCUAGCUGGUCUGAGAGGAUGACCAGCCACACUGGGACUGAGACACGGCCCAG
Molecule: ribosomal RNA, 230 nt
Filed under: uncultured bacterium
Lineage: Bacteria
Description: partial 16S ribosomal RNA
Rfam family: Bacterial small subunit ribosomal RNA
Source: RNAcentral